UGCCUGUACCAUAACCGACACAGGUGGGUAGGUAGAGUAUACUAAGGGGCGCGAGAUAACUCUCUCUAAGGAACUCGGCAAAAUGACUCCGUAACUUCGGGAGAAGGAGUGCCUUAUUUAUAAGGUUGCAAUAACAAGAUCCAAGCAACUGUUUAUCAAAAACACAGGUCUCCGCUAAGUCGUAAGACGAUGUAUGGGGGCUGACGCCUGCCCAGUGCCAGAAGGUUAAAGAAGUUGGUUAGUGUAUGCGAAGCUGAUGACUGAAGCCCUGGUGAACGGCGGCCGUAACAAUAACGGUCCUAAGGUAGCGAAAUUCCUUGUCGGGUAAGUUCCGACCCGCACGAAAGGCGUAAUGAUUUGGAUACUGUCUCGGAGAGAGGCUCGGUGAAAUAGACUUGUCUGUGAAGAUGCGGACUACCUGCACCAGGACAGAAAGACCCUAUGAAGCUUUACUGUAACUUGAAAUUGGAAUUGGACUUUGCUUGCGCAGUAUAGGUGGGAAGCGUUGAAGAUAUUCUUGCGGGAGUAUUGGAGCUAUCAGUGAGAUACCACUCUUGUAAUGUUAGAUUUCUAACUUUGAACCAUAAUCUGGUCAAAGAACAGUUUCAGGUGGGCAGUUUGACUGGGGCGGUCGCCUCCCAAAUGGUAACGGAGGCGUACAAAGGUUUCCUCUGAACGGAUAGAAAUCGUAUCUAGAGUGUAAAGGCAUAAGGAAGCUUGACUGUGAGACCUACAAGUCGAGCAGGGACGAAAGUCGGUCUUAGUGAUCUGACGGUACUGAGUGGAAAGGCCGUCACUCAACGGAUAAAAGUUACUCUAGGAUAACAGGCUGAUCUCCCCCAAGAGUUCACAUCGACGGGGAGGUUUGGCACCUCGAUGUCGGCUCAUCGCAUCCUGGGGCGGUAGUACGUCCCAAGGGUUGGGCUGUUCGCCCAUGAAAGCGGUACGCGAGCUGGGUUCAGAACGUCGUGAGACAGUUCGGUCCAUAUCCGGUGUAGGCGUUAGAGUAUUGAGAGGAGCCUUCUCUAGUACGAGAGGACCGAGAAGGACACACCGCUGGUGUACCAGUUAUCGUGCCAACGGUAAACGCUGGGUAGCUAUGUGUGGAGUGGAUAACCGCUGAAAGCAUCUAAGUGGGAAGCCCACCUCAAGAUGAGUAUUCUCAUCACUAUAAGUGAGUAAGGUCACGGUAAGACUAACCGUUUGAUAGGCAUUAAGUGUAAAUGUAGUAAUGCAUGUGCUGAGAUGUCCUAACAGACCGAGGAC
Molecule: ribosomal RNA, 1266 nt
Filed under: metagenome
Description: bacterial LSU rRNA
Rfam family: Bacterial large subunit ribosomal RNA
Source: RNAcentral